UGGGGAAUUUUGGACAAUGGGGGAAACCCUGAUCCAGCCAUCCCGCGUGUGCGAUGAAGGCCUUCGGGUUGUAAAGCACUUUUGGCAGGAAAGAAACGUCAUGGGUUAAUACCCCGUGAAACUGACGGUACCUGCAGAAUAAGCACCGGCUAACUACGUGCCAGCAGCCGCGGUAAUACGUAGGGUGCAAGCGUUAAUCGGAAUUACUGGGCGUAAAGCGUGCGCAGGCGGUUUGGAAAGAAAGAUGUGAAAUCCCAGAGCUCAACUUUGGAACUGCAUUUUAAACUACCGGGCUAGAGUGUGUCAGAGGGAGGUGGAAUUCCGCGUGUAGCAGUGAAAUGCGUAGAUAUGCGGAGGAACACCGAUGGCGAAGGCAGCCUCCUGGGAUAACACUGACGCUCAUGCACGAAAGCGUGGGGAGCAAACAGG
RNAcentral lists this ribosomal RNA (429 nucleotides) under Acidobacteriota bacterium. RNAcentral's name for it is "Acidobacteria bacterium partial 16S ribosomal RNA". It matches the Rfam family "Bacterial small subunit ribosomal RNA", at positions 355 to 776 of the family's 1533-position model. The record is from RNAcentral. Lineage: Bacteria; Pseudomonadati; Acidobacteriota.